UCCUGUGCCUGGGUUAAGAUGGGCCUAAUAAUCUAUGUGAGCCUACUUAUGCUAACUCCAAAAAUCCCGAGUCUGCUGUUUUAUCCUCAAGACAAUGCCUUCCUAUCCUGGGCUCACUCCUACACAGCAUUUCAC
Long non-coding RNA from Cervus elaphus (red deer), 135 nucleotides. RefSeq lists it as uncharacterized. NCBI's taxonomy places the organism in Eukaryota, Metazoa, Chordata, Mammalia, Artiodactyla, Cervidae. The record is from RefSeq and is a predicted model, not a curated record. The transcript is spliced from 3 exons.